UAACGGGAGGCAGCAGUAGGGAAUCUUCCACAAUGGACGCAAGUCUGAUGGAGCAACGCCGCGUGAGUGAAGAAGGUUUUCGGAUCGUAAAGCUCUGUUGUUGGUGAAGAAGGACAUGGGUAGUAACUGAUCUAUGUUUGACGGUAAUCAACCAGAAAGUCACGGCUAACUACGUGCCAGCAGCCGCGGUAAUACGUAGGUGGCAAGCGUUGUCCGGAUUUAUUGGGCGUAAAGCGAACGCAGGCGGGAGAACAAGUCAGCUGUGAAAGCCCUCGGCUUAACCGAGGAACGGCAACUGAAACUGUUUUUCUUGAGUGCAGAAGAGGAGAGUGGAACUCCAUGUGUAGCGGUGAAAUGCGUAGAUAUAUGGAAGAACACCAGUGGCGAAGGCGGCUCUCUGGUCUGUAACUGACGCUGAGGUUCGAAAGCAUGGGUAGCGAACAGGAUUAAAUACCCUGGUAGUCCAUGCCGUAAACGAUGAGUGCUAAGUGUUGGGAGGUUUCCCNCUCUCANUGCUGCAGCUAACGCANUAANCACUCCNCCUGGGGAGUACNACCCCAAGGUUAAAACUCAAAGGAAUUGACGGGGGCCCNCCCAANCGGUG
Molecule: ribosomal RNA, 604 nt
Filed under: Lactobacillus sp.B A65
Lineage: Bacteria; Bacillati; Bacillota; Bacilli; Lactobacillales; Lactobacillaceae
Description: bacterial SSU rRNA
Rfam family: Bacterial small subunit ribosomal RNA
Source: RNAcentral